Molecule: ribosomal RNA, 301 nt
Filed under: uncultured bacterium
Lineage: Bacteria
Description: partial 16S ribosomal RNA
Rfam family: Bacterial small subunit ribosomal RNA
Source: RNAcentral
CAGUCGCCGCGGUAAUACGGAGGAUCCGAGCGUUAUCCGGAAUUAUUGGGUUUAAAGGGUGCGUAGGCGGAUAGAUAAGUCAGUGGUGAAAGACGGUGGCUCAACCAUCGCAGUGCCGUUGAUACUGUUUAUCUUGAAUAUGGAUGAGGUAGGCGGAAUGUGGCAAGUAGCGGUGAAAUGCAUAGAUAUGCCACAGAACACCGAUUGCGAAGGCAGCUUACCAAGGCAAAAUUGACGCUGAGGCACGAAAGCGUGGGGAUCGAACAGGAUUAGAUACCCCCGUAGUCCCUGUCUCUUAUAC